RNAcentral lists this non-coding RNA (57 nucleotides) under Yoonia rosea. RNAcentral's name for it is "Loktanella rosea sul1 RNA". It matches the Rfam family "sul1 RNA". Lineage: Bacteria; Pseudomonadati; Pseudomonadota; Alphaproteobacteria; Rhodobacterales; Paracoccaceae. The record is from Rfam by way of RNAcentral.
CCUGGACCCGAGAGCGAUCUUGGGUGGCUCUUCCGGCCGCUGAUCCGCCGGACAACC